UAGCAGAAGACUAAAGCCUACCUUGAGAAGAUGGAGAUGAGGUAUAUGAUGGAUUGGCUUUAGUGCAAGUGAAAGAUUGUUAGAUAUAUACCCUAGAAGCCAAUCUGACUGAUACAUUUGCUCUUUCUAAGAUAUAAUUUUAUACUUAACUUUAUCAUUCUUUAAUAAAAUCGACAGGUUAUUUCUAUUCAUAUUGUGCAUAUAUCCAUGAAUGGUCC
This 218-nucleotide long non-coding RNA is filed under the name Elaeis guineensis (African oil palm). RNAcentral's name for it is "long non-coding RNA (EGUI_LNC003822)". The record is from RNAcentral. Lineage: Eukaryota; Viridiplantae; Streptophyta; Magnoliopsida; Arecales; Arecaceae.